GAUGAACGCUGGCGGCGUGCCUAACACAUGCAAGUCGAACGAAGCACCUUACCUGAUUCUUCGGAUGAAAGUUUGGUGACUGAGUGGCGGACGGGUGAGUAACGCGUGGGUAACCUGCCCUGUACAGGGGGAUAACAGCUGGAAACGGCUGCUAAUACCGCAUAAGCGCACGAGGAGACAUCUCCUUGUGUGAAAAACUCCGGUGGUACAGGGUGGGCCCGCGUCUGAUUAGCUGGUUGGCAGGGUAACGGCCUACCAAGGCAACGAUCAGUAGCCGGUCUGAGAGGAUGAACGGCCACAUUGGAACUGAGACACGGUCCAAACUCCUACGGGAGGCAGCAGUGGGGAAUAUUGCACAAUGGGGGAAACCCUGAUGCAGCAACGCCGCGUGAGUGAAGAAGUAUUUCGGUAUGUAAAGCUCUAUCAGCAGGGAAGAUAAUGACGGUACCUGACUAAGAAGCUCCGGCUAAAUACGUG
Molecule: ribosomal RNA, 477 nt
Filed under: uncultured bacterium
Lineage: Bacteria
Description: partial 16S ribosomal RNA
Rfam family: Bacterial small subunit ribosomal RNA
Source: RNAcentral